UGGGGAAUCUUGCCCAAUGGGCGAAAGCCUGAGGCAGCGACGCCGCGUGCGGGAAGAAGGCCCUCGGGUUGUAAACCGCUUUCAGGAGGGACGAAGCUACUCGGGUGAAUAGCCCAGAGGGUGACGGUACCUCCAGAAGAAGCCCCGGCUAACUACGUGCCAGCAGCCGCAGUAAUACGUAGGGGGCAAGCGUUGUCCGGAUUUAUUGGGCGUAAAGCGCGUGUAGGCGGCCAGGCAGGUCCGUUGUGAAAACUGGAGGCUCAACCUCCAGACGUCGAUGGAAACCGCUUGGCUAGAGUCCGGAAGAGGAGAGUGGAAUUCCUGGUGUAGCGGUGAAAUGCGCAGAUAUCAGGAAGAACACCGAUGGCGAAGGCAGCUCUCUGGGACGGUACUGACGCUGAGACGCGAAAGCGUGGGGAGCGAGCAGGAUUAGAUACCCUGGUAGUCCACGCCGUAAACGAUGGGUGCUAGGUGUGGGAGGUGUCGACUCC
Molecule: ribosomal RNA, 491 nt
Filed under: uncultured Actinomycetes bacterium
Lineage: Bacteria; Bacillati; Actinomycetota; Actinomycetes
Description: bacterial SSU rRNA
Rfam family: Bacterial small subunit ribosomal RNA
Source: RNAcentral